UCCUUUUCACUCUGAUCUUUUUUCAUAAGGUCUAUAAUGAGAUGAAGUUCUAAGGAUUAUUCCGCUGCAGAAUUAUUCUCCUUUAAGCAAGUGUUCUUUGAAACACUCGUCAAGACUUCAAAGUGGUUUUGGUGGUGGAAAAGAAGUUUGCUGAGUACAUCAGUCAUGGCAACAGCUGUAACCCUUGCUCAGGUUUCCAAGAGUACAAAGUCCUGCGCUCAGCAAGGGAGAAAGCUCGAAUAUGGACCCUCUGCUAGGCACUUGCUCAAAGCGAAUCACCUCGAGGAUUAAUACUUUUGCACAAUGCUGCUGACAAAUUGUGUAGUGCCCGACUGUAUGAGCUUGAGCAAUGCUGAGAAAGGGAUUUUACAGAGGAUGAAUAUAUCACCUUGGAACGUCAGUGUUAACCUCAGAAAUACUUCAGACACUUCGAUAAACAGCUCUGGAAACAGAAGUGAUGUCUUUGCCUGACGUGCUGGGGAGGAAGGAAAAGAGAAAGGGUAAAACCGGUUUCCAUCAGUGGCUUCUCAGCAUUCCAGCUUUCUCCUAGUUUCAGCAAUGCUGCUGAGAUUGAACUUGGUGUAUGUGAUUUCUAGCAAGGAUAACAAAGCUGUAUAGCUAGUUGCUGGUGGCAAUCUAGAGUGAUUCGGGUUUGCUACGGCCAGUUUCCAUUUGUAAUGUGUGUAGGUGGAGCAGAUGCAGCGAUUAAA
This is a non-coding RNA of Phalacrocorax carbo (great cormorant), 710 nucleotides long. The record is from RefSeq and is a predicted model, not a curated record. Lineage: Eukaryota; Metazoa; Chordata; Aves; Suliformes; Phalacrocoracidae.